RNAcentral lists this ribosomal RNA (164 nucleotides) under Acaena cylindristachya. Its description in RNAcentral is "5.8S ribosomal RNA". It matches the Rfam family "5.8S ribosomal RNA". From Rfam's summary of the family: 5.8S ribosomal RNA (5.8S rRNA) is a component of the large subunit of the eukaryotic ribosome. Lineage: Eukaryota; Viridiplantae; Streptophyta; Magnoliopsida; Rosales; Rosaceae. The record is from RNAcentral.
UAAACGACUCUCGGCAACGGAUAUCUCAGCUCUCGCAUCGAUGAAGAAUGUAGUGGAAUGCAGUACUUGGUGUGAAUUAUAGAAUCCCGUGAACCAUUGAGUCUUUGAACGCAAGUUGCGCCAGAAGCCAUUAGGCCGAGGGCACGUCUGCCUGGGCGUCACAU